GCCCCCGUAGCUCAAUGGAUAGAGCACUGUCCUUCUAAGUCAGCCGUUGCAGGUUCGAGUCCUGCCGGGGGCG
Molecule: transfer RNA, 73 nt
Filed under: Pimelobacter simplex
Lineage: Bacteria; Bacillati; Actinomycetota; Actinomycetes; Propionibacteriales; Nocardioidaceae
Description: tRNA-Arg (TCT) (tRNA-Arg-TCT-1-1)
Rfam family: tRNA
About the family: Transfer RNA (tRNA) molecules are approximately 80 nucleotides in length.
Source: Rfam by way of RNAcentral